Molecule: ribosomal RNA, 546 nt
Filed under: Salmonella enterica
Lineage: Bacteria; Pseudomonadati; Pseudomonadota; Gammaproteobacteria; Enterobacterales; Enterobacteriaceae
Description: bacterial SSU rRNA
Rfam family: Bacterial small subunit ribosomal RNA
Source: RNAcentral
AAAUUGAAGAGUUUGAUCAUGGCUCAGAUUGAACGCUGGCGGCAGGCCUAACACAUGCAAGUCGAACGGUAACAGGAAGCAGCUUGCUGCUUUGUUGACGAGUGGCGGACGGGUGAGUAAUGUCUGGGAAACUGCCUGAUGGAGGGGGAUAACUACUGGAAACGGUGGCUAAUACCGCAUAACGUCGCAAGACCAAAGAGGGGGACCUUCGGGCCUCUUGCCAUCAGAUGUGCCCAGAUGGGAUUAGCUUGUUGGUGAGGUAACGGCUCACCAAGGCGACGAUCCCUAGCUGGUCUGAGAGGAUGACCAGCCACACUGGAACUGAGACACGGUCCAGACUCCUACGGGAGGCAGCAGUGGGGAAUAUUGCACAAUGGGCGCAAGCCUGAUGCAGCCAUGCCGCGUGUAUGAAGAAGGCCUUCGGGUUGUAAAGUACUUUCAGCGGGGAGGAAGGUGUUGUGGUUAAUAACCGCAGCAAUUGACGUUACCCGCAGAAGAAGCACCGGCUAACUCCGUGCCAGCAGCCGCGGUAAUACGGAGGGUGCA